GACGAACGCUGGCGGCGUGCUUAACACAUGCAAGUCGAACGGAAAGGCCCUGCUUUUGUGGGGCGCUCGAGUGGCGAACGGGUGAGUAACACGCGAGUAACCUGCCCUUGACUUUGGGAUAACUUCAGGAAACUGGGGCUAAUACCGGAUAGGAGCUCCUGCUGCAUGGUGGGGGUUGGAAAGUUUCGGCGGUUGGGGAUGGACUGGCGGCUUAUCCGCUUGUUGGUGAGGUAGGGGCUUACCACGGCUAUGACGGAUAGGCGGCCUGGGAGGGGUGCCAGGCUCCAUGCUCCUACGGGACGGCCCAGAAGCGUAUGGGACGCAGCGGUGGAGAAUAUGGCGCAGUAACCGGAAGCCUGUUGCGGAAGCCUCGCGUGCGGGAUAACGGCUUUCGGGUUGUAAACCGCUGUCGCCUGAACCAAAGAGUGAUUGACGGUAACUAAUAAAAAAGCAACGGCUAACUACGUG
This 468-nucleotide ribosomal RNA is filed under the name uncultured bacterium. Its description in RNAcentral is "partial 16S ribosomal RNA". It matches the Rfam family "Bacterial small subunit ribosomal RNA", at positions 28 to 507 of the family's 1533-position model. The record is from RNAcentral.